AGUGAACGCUGGCGGUAGGCCUAACACAUGCAAGUCGAACGGCAGCACAGUAAGAGCUUGCUCUUACGGGUGGCGAGUGGCGGACGGGUGAGGAAUACAUCGGAAUCUACUUUUUCGUGGGGGAGAACGUAGGGAAACUUACGCUAAUACCGCAUACGACCUACGGGGGAAAGCAGGGGAUCUUCGGACCUUGCGCGAGUGAAUGAGCCGAUGUCGGAUUAGCUAGUUGGCGGGGUAAAGGCCCACCAAGGCGACGAUCCGUAGCUGGUCUGAGAGGAUGAUCAGCCACACUGGAACUGAGACACGGUCCAGACUCCUACGGGAGGCAGCAGUGGGGAAUAUUGGACAAUGGGCGCAAGCCUGAUCCAGCCAUACCGCGUGGGUGAAGAAGGCCUUCGGGUUGUAAAGCCCUUUUGUUGGGAAAGAAAAGCAGCAGGUUAAUACCCCGCUGUUCUGACGGUACCCAAAGAAUAAGCACCGGCUAACUUCGUG
Molecule: ribosomal RNA, 492 nt
Filed under: uncultured bacterium
Lineage: Bacteria
Description: partial 16S ribosomal RNA
Rfam family: Bacterial small subunit ribosomal RNA
Source: RNAcentral